RNAcentral lists this ribosomal RNA (457 nucleotides) under uncultured bacterium. RNAcentral describes it as "bacterial SSU rRNA". It matches the Rfam family "Bacterial small subunit ribosomal RNA", at positions 340 to 787 of the family's 1533-position model. The record is from RNAcentral.
UACGGAAGGCAGCAGUGGGGAAUAUUGCACAAUGGGCGAAAGCCUGAUGCAGCUAUGCCGCGUGUAUGAAGAAGGCCUUAGGGUUGUAAAGUACUUUCAUCGGGGAGGAAAAACAAAACUAAUAAUUUUAUUUCUUGACGUUACCCGAAAAAGAAGCACCGGCUAACUCCGUGCCAGCAGCCGCGGUAAUACGGAGGGUGCUAGCGUUAAUCAGAAUUACUGGGCGUAAAGAGCACGUAGGUGGUUUUUUUAAGUCAGAUGUGAAAUCCCUGGGCUUAACCUGGAACUGCAUUUUGAAACUGAAAUACUAGAGUAUCGUAGAGGGAGGUAGAAUUCUAGGUGUAGCGGUGAAAUGCGUAGAUAUCUGGAGGAAUACCUGUGGCGAAAGCGGCCUCCUAAACGAAUACUGACACUGAGGUGCGAAAAGCGUGGGGAGCAAAACGAGGAUUAGACUACC